UUAUUUUCCGAAUACGUCCUACCCCCUAAGUCAUCCUCAUCGUUACAUCUUCAUAUAACCAAUCCCCAAACCCUAACCCGCCGUCUCCUUUCUUGCACCACCUUGGGGUGGCGGCGCCUGUCCCAUUCAGCCCCAAAAUAACAUCCCGAAUUCUUCUCAACCCUCUCAUUCCAAAUACCUGAACUAUUUUCCUCGAAUAUAAUCCAGUCAUCUCGAAUCUUCAAUCAAACGUUUGACCAAAAACCCCAAUCCUCCCAAUCCGGUCAAAAUCGUACCCUACAGUCUUCUAGGUCUCCUCAAUCUGAAUUCCAAGUCAAGAAUCUUCAAAUUCAAGUGAAGUUCUGCCAAUUGCAAAUCUAGGGUUUGGCCCUUUUGACGUUAAGAGCUGAAUUGACCCCUGCAAUGGUUUCCUAGUUUCAAGCGUGUAGUGAGUUCUCCUCUUUUACUUUGUUUACGGUUCUUUCUCUUUGGCCCUUCUGGGUUUCUCUUUUGUUUUUUCUAUUUUCAGUGUGGUUAAUCUAUGUUCUUUUCCUUGGUAUUUUAAUAUGAAUUAACAAAUAUAGUUUGUUCGUUUUAAGUGUGUUGCUUAGGCAUGAGUAUUAAAGUCAAGCAUGUUGAUUUUUUCGAUCAGUUUAGGUGUCGUCUGAUCACUGUUUCAUCAUUGUUCGCCGGUUUUAAUUUUUUGCUUUACGAUUCAAUUGGUUCUCAUUUGGUUUAAUUUUUCUUUUGAUCAUGUGUUGUGAUAUUUGAAGUGUGUUUUGACAAGUUUUAGUUUUAUUAGUUAGUUAGAUUAGAUCGCUCUUUGAAUCAUUUUUUCAUUAGUAAAAUUGGAUUGGUUUUUUAGCUUUGUUAAUUCACUAGUUAUGGCUUUAUUAAGCUCUUAGAAUAAUUGUAGUUAAACUUCAACUAGGGUUAUUUCAGUCUAGUAAAAUUCAGGGUAAAGGCAGGGGUAGUUUGGGCAUUUAACCAUAUGAUAGAAUAGAAUCCCCAGAAUCUUUUAGAAUGGGGCUCAAGUUUAUAUUUCAGUAAGUUUAGGGUUCAGUCUAGUAAAAUUCAGGGUAAAGACAGGGGUAUUUUGGGCAUUUAACCAUAGGAUAGAAUUUUGUAGAUUAGAAUAGAAUUCCCUAGAAUCUUCUAGAAUGGGGCUCACAUUUAGAUUUUAGUAAGUUUAGGAUAUUAACUUGAGUGACAAGUCAGAACUUCAGGACUAUCUGAAUAAAAUCUUAAAACAAAGAGGGGGAAAAUGAAUGAGGGAAUUCUAGAAUCUUCCUACCCCCUUCUUGCAUAUAAAAGGCAGCCCCAAUGCAUUAAGAAACAAUUUUGGAAGCCCAAAAAUUCCCCUAAAAACCUUUCCUGCAUAUCUGAAUCCCUAGUUUGAAUUUCAAAUUUAGAAUUUUAAAAAUAUGAACUCUUAUAGUUUCCACCUUCUUUUAGAUCUGAAUUCCUAUUCAAAAAUCCAAAAACAAACAGAAAUAUAGUAAAAAAAAGGUAUUGUUUCAUUGAAAUUUUAGUAUGAUUUUGAUUUCUAGUUGUUAAUUCACAUCUUCUCGUCCAAUAUCUAUUGGCUGGGAGCUUUAGAGGUGUCCUGGUUCAAAUUCGAGCUAGUUUUGGUUUACAUGAGUUGUGUUGGUCGUUCAAACUGCAUUUGGUUAAUUCAGUCAGUUUUUGGGUCUAGUUGCUGUUGUUUCUCGCUACUAGUUUUACAAAAUUCAAGCUGAAAUAGCUGUGAUAGUCCUUCACUGCUUGAAUCUGUGCCUCUCACAUUGCUGCUGAUCUCUCCUUUCCUCAUUUCUCUUAUCAAAUUCCAGGUACACACUCUGGACUAACUCAAUGUAGCUUCUCCUGUCAAACAAUGAAAUGAAACGGAGGCGAUUCUCUACUGUAGAUCUACUGUUUGAUAAUUCUAUCAUGUUUAAGUAGAUUUUCUGUGAUUUGGUUGGUCGUUCAAUGUAAUUAACUUUGGAUUGUAAUUAGGACUGCUUUAAAGUGAUUUGGACUGUCUUUUCUGGACUUUCAAUUUGUAGUAAUUGAUCAAACUCUAUAAUUGUAUAAUUGUUCUAAUGGUGGCAUUAUUUGUGAACACUAGAAUUAGCAGGCUAUUAACACUAGAAAAAUAGGGGGCAAUCAUUGAGAUUUGAAUAGAGUAUUUUAAAAAUUGUGUUAAAUGGACUGUGAGCUAUAUUUGUAUAAUCCAUGUCGGUGUGGUUGUGUUAAUUUAAGCAUUGUUUGAGGACCGACUGAAAAUGAGUAUUAACUUAGGAUUUAACCAAAUAUGAGCAUAAUUCUCUAGGUUCUUCGGAGUUUAGUUUACUUUUGGAAAUCAUAAACAUCAUAUCAAUACGAUAGGUGUUGCGUCUCCUGUUUAACAGACGUUGGCUACGCUAAUUCAUUCAUUGAGUUCAAUAAUUAAUUAUAGUACUUCCUUGGAUUAUAUCUAAUCAGAAUACAAGUUAAAAUAAGAUUGAUGGUUGCUGAGUUGAUCGAAUUUGGAAUUACCUUCAGUUGUUACUCAAAAUUCUGAACCUAAUUGUGCAAACUCAACCGUGAGUACUUAGCUGAUCCUAAGCAUUCUGAGCUUAACAGCCCAUUCAGGUGUUUUGGUGUCACUGAUGCCUGAGCUACUUAUGUUUAUGAUGUAGCGUUCGAAAUGGGCCUGUAGUAAGGCCCAAGGAUGGUUGGCCGCUCCUGAAAUAAAAAAGCUGGUUAUUUAUAUUGGGCUGAACUUGAGAACAGAUACACUAACGACUCUCACUCCUUUAAUCAUGAUUUAGUUUAGGCUUUGGGCCUAUAAAUUAAAUUUCUUUUAGAGAUAAUCCCUUAAUAGAUAACCAUAGUCCAUUUCGAGGAUGCCUUUUAUAUAAAUGAGACGAGCCUCGCUGAACAAAACACAUAAAUUGCGGGACCCUCGAUAAAUACCUGUAUUAAAUACUUAGAAUUCAGGAUGGGCCGCCUAGCAAAUAUUGUUUUACCCAAAGAUAAUAACGUGUUAGUAUCUUUAGGCGCAUAUUAUAAUAACAUUACCUACUAAACUCGGGUGCACAAUUAUAUAACCCAAAUCCAAAUCUCAACGAAGUCGAAAUAUGUCAACAACCACGGGUGUAUUUAUGUGACGUGGUUCGAGAAACGUUUUUACGACAUUGCAAUUCUCGUUAAAAAUAAUAAUAAAAACGAUUAAGAUUAAAAGCACAUAAGAAAAAAUAUGUUUUGAAAUAAGAUAAUAUUCCAAAUAUAACAGUUGAGCAACCUUUCUAGAACCACGGAACCCGGGAAUGCCUAACUCCUUCUCCCGGGUUAACAUAAUUUCUUACUCGAAUUUUUGGUUCGCGGACUGUUAACAGAGUCAUAUUUUUCUCAGUUCGGGAUUCAAUCGGUGACUUGGGACACCAUUAAUCUCCUAAUUGGCGACUCUGAAUCCUAAUAAUAAAUCCCAUUCCCAUUGUCCUUUAACUAGAAAAACUCUUUUAUGCCCUUGCAGGUGUAGUGAAAAAGAAGGUGUGACAGCUAUGGCGACUCUGCUGGGGAGGCAAACCCAGAACUUCGGUUCAAGUUUAGGAGUUCGAUCUUAGAAUAAUUGUUAUGUUUGGCUUUAUCUGAUUUUCCUACAUGUUUCCUACUAAAUGUGCUUAAUGCUUUACCGCUUUGAUAUUAUCUGAACUGUAUAUAAAUUGUGCCGAAACCCUUCUCUUCUCACCUCCGGGGAUGUGCUUACUGGUUGAGACUCCCUAUUAUGUUAGUGUCAUACCCUGAAGUAAGAAAGAGGCUCGGAUAAGAUACAAAACCGAACAAUAUUGCG
This 3793-nucleotide long non-coding RNA is filed under the name Nicotiana benthamiana. Its description in RNAcentral is "long non-coding RNA (NBEN_LNC021075)". Lineage: Eukaryota; Viridiplantae; Streptophyta; Magnoliopsida; Solanales; Solanaceae. The record is from RNAcentral.